AAAGUUUUAAGUUAAAAUUAAAACUAAUAGCCUUCAAAGUUAUAAAUAAAAAGAAAAAUUUAAACUUUA
Molecule: transfer RNA, 69 nt
Filed under: Smittia aterrima
Lineage: Eukaryota; Metazoa; Arthropoda; Insecta; Diptera; Chironomidae
Also listed under: 1 other name
Description: tRNA-Trp
Source: RNAcentral